GUACACGCUGUGACUAGCAUAUCAAUAAGCGGAGGAAAAGAAACUAACAAGGAUUCCCCUAGUAACGGCGAGUGAAGCGGGAAGAGCUCAAAUUUGAAAUCUUAAAGGGUUUCCCUUUACGAAUUGUAGUUUAAAGAAGUGUUUUCUGUUGAGGUUUUGGUAAAAGUUCUUUGGAAUAGGACAUCAUAGAGGGUGAGAAUCCCGUAUUUGACCUUUACUUUCAACUUUGUGAUACACUUUCAAAGAGUCGGAUUGUUUGGGAAUGCAGUCCAAAAUGGGUGGUAAAUUUCAUCUAAAGCUAAAUAUUGGCGAGAGACCGAUAGCGAACAAGUACCGUGAGGGAAAGAUGAAAAGAACUUUGAAAAGAGAGUUAAACAGUACGUGAAAUUGUCAAAAGGGAAGCGUUUGACACCAGUGUUGUUUUUCUGAAAAUCAGUUAAAGAACUGUUUAUGCUAAGCUGUUUAGACUUUAUCAGCUAUCUGUUUAGUUUUGAGCUUUUCUUUAAUGCACUUUUCAGUUAACAAGUCAACAUCAAUUUCUUUUGCUGUAAAAAAGCUUGAGGAAGGUGGCUUGAGAUUCGUCUUAAGUGUUUAUAGCCUCUUGCCUAUGCAGUCGGAGAGAUUGAGGUCUGCAGCGUAGAUCCUUCGGGGCUAAAUGCAUUUGUGCUAAGUUAUAACAUUUUAUAGACAACUUGUUGACUAUGAUUUGUCUUGUAGCUUACUCGCUUAUGUUAUUUUACCUACGCUUAGGAUGUUGAUAUGCAUGACUGAUAU
This 774-nucleotide ribosomal RNA is filed under the name uncultured Neocallimastigales. Its description in RNAcentral is "partial large subunit ribosomal RNA". It matches the Rfam family "Eukaryotic large subunit ribosomal RNA", at positions 22 to 640 of the family's 3401-position model. Lineage: Eukaryota; Fungi; Neocallimastigomycota; Neocallimastigomycetes; Neocallimastigales. The record is from RNAcentral.